UCCUACUGCAUGGCGUCCGGAGGUCUUAUACCAAACAACAGAGAGAGAGAGGACUCAACUCUCCAAUUCACUCACCUUCCAUUGCGAUUAUCGCCUCUAACCCCCACUCGGUGGCUCCCCCCCACACCUUCCUCAAUCCGCAAACGAUGUCUGCAAAGCAAACUGAAAGUCUCUGCACAGGGAAUCCUCCAGCACUGCUGUUUAUUAUCUGGAUAAGCAAUCGUAAAAUCCGCCCUUUUGUUUCGAAGUGCAUACAUAAUGCUCGGGGGGGGAAAAAAAGGCACCCUCGUCUGUGCAUUAACAGAGAUGGGAGAAGAAGCAUAUCCACGCGAGGUCCAGCCGCCAACAGAGAAUGCUGACAGCAAACCGCGUGGGCUACGUUGGAUCAAUUAAAGCUCUAACAAUGAAAGGCAGUACAGAAAGAGCAAAGAAGGUUUAGAAAAUAUUCGGAAUUACGUUCCCACAUCAAGAUAGCUCUGGACUAUUGUACAGGAAUGAAUGUUGCUAAAUUGAGGAUGUUUGGACGAAAACUAUCUAAACAUCUGAAGAUUC
Molecule: long non-coding RNA, 552 nt
Organism: Callorhinchus milii (elephant shark)
Lineage: Eukaryota; Metazoa; Chordata; Chondrichthyes; Chimaeriformes; Callorhinchidae
Exons: 5
Source: RefSeq, a predicted model, not a curated record